This is a long non-coding RNA of Felis catus (domestic cat), 809 nucleotides long. RefSeq lists it as uncharacterized. The transcript is spliced from 2 exons. NCBI's taxonomy places the organism in Eukaryota, Metazoa, Chordata, Mammalia, Carnivora, Felidae. The record is from RefSeq and is a predicted model, not a curated record.
UGGACAAGGCCCACCCCCACUGAGGAGGAGUCUGCUUUCCCGGGCCCUCUGAUUCGAGCGCUAAUCUCAUCCAGAAACACCCUCACAGUCAUGCCCAGAAGGCUGCCAGACCAAGUACGUGGGCACCGGCGGCCCAUCAAGCUGCCACCUAAAACCAGCCUUUGUGCCCAAACCACUCUAAUCUCAGCUCUGUGUUCACAUCACCUUCUCUUGUGUCUCAGUCUCCCUGCCCGCCCCUGCCACCUCCUCGCAGAAGGCCACUGUGAUGGCAUUUCAGGCCCACCCGGCAACCGAGGGUCACCUCCCCACAACAUCCAUAACUGAAUCACGUCGGCAUAGAGCCUGUUUCUAGACAAGGUGGCACUCAAGUUCCAGGGCCUGGGACGUGACUUCUUUGGGGGCCACUCUUCAGCAUGCUACAAGGGACCACAACACCAAUCCCGGAGCCUGGGUGGGCGGCUCCAAGUGGGACCCGGUCCAAGUUCACGAGGGAGCCCGGGCCGAUAUAUUUCUGUUCUUGGCACUGAGCCCUCUCCACAGCUGUGAACCUCUCACACACUACACGCCACCGGUCACGGGAAGAUGAACCAGCGCGCACUCGCCUGGGGGGGCAGAGCCCCAGCCAGGACGGUGACUCAGUUUCGCCCAGGCGACAAGACGGGGAAAGCCCACGUGGGAAGCUCACCAACCCCCUCCCCCCCACCAUGACCAGAUUCUCAGCCCCCGCACCCCAUGGAGGGCACUGAGGCUCAGCCAAGGGCAGGACGGUUGUUAAAAGGUCGUUGUAAAAAAAAAUGACAUGUGAAGAA